UACGUAGGUGGCAAGCGUUGUCCGGAUUUACUGGGCGUAAAGCGCGCGUAGGCGGCUCUUCAAGUCAGGCGUGAAAGCCCCGGGCUUAACCCGGGAAUAGCGCUUGAUACUGUUGGGCUUGAGUCCGGGAGAGGAUAGUGGAAUUCCCAGUGUAGAGGUGAAAUUCGUAGAUAUUGGGAAGAACACCAGUGGCGAAGGCGGCUAUCUGGACCGGAACUGACGCUGAGGCGCGAAAGCGUGGGGAGCAAACAGG
RNAcentral lists this ribosomal RNA (253 nucleotides) under uncultured bacterium. Its description in RNAcentral is "partial 16S ribosomal RNA". It matches the Rfam family "Bacterial small subunit ribosomal RNA", at positions 524 to 776 of the family's 1533-position model. The record is from RNAcentral.